RNAcentral lists this ribosomal RNA (347 nucleotides) under Escherichia coli. Its description in RNAcentral is "bacterial LSU rRNA". It matches the Rfam family "Bacterial large subunit ribosomal RNA", at positions 1 to 375 of the family's 2925-position model. Lineage: Bacteria; Pseudomonadati; Pseudomonadota; Gammaproteobacteria; Enterobacterales; Enterobacteriaceae. The record is from RNAcentral.
GGGUUGUGAGGUUAAGCGACUAAGCGUACACGGUGGAUGCCCUGGCAGUCAGAGGCGAUGAAGGACGUGCUAAUCUGCGAUAAGCGUCGGUAAGGUGAUAUGAACCGUUAUAACCGGCGAUUUCCGAAUGGGGAAACCCAGUGUGAUUUGUCACACUAUCAUUAACUGAAUCCAUAGGUUAAUGAGGCGAACCGGGGGAACUGAAACAUCUAAGUACCCCGAGGAAAAGAAAUCAACCGAGAUUCCCCCAGUAGCGGCGAGCGAACGGGGAGGAGCCCAGAGCCUGAAUCAGUGUGUGUGUUAGUGGAAGCGUCUGGAAAGGCGCGCGAUACAGGGUGACAGCCCCG